GAUCUUGAGUGUGCCUUAAAAUUCCAUUUCAUGGAGAACUGUGCGUGGUUGAAUUUUGAUUGAUUACUCAAUUAACUGAUGUAUUGGUAGAGUGAUUAAGAAAGAAGACUUUGGGAUCAGACCAACCUGGUUUUGAAUUCAAGCUCAGCAACUUACUAGGUAAGGAGGAGAAAAGAAAGAAGGAAAAAUUGGAAAGAUAAAUGGGGUCUUUCCAGUGAAGGCUCAAUUUUCCUACAUAAUUAAGAGUUUGGAAUUCGGGCAAUAUCAAGAACCACAUCUGUCCUGAAAUCAAUUAUCUCUGUUUGGAAUAUGGAUAUGAGAGAUCACUUUGCUGUGCUGUAAAUGAUCGAUUAAAAUACAUAUUUCUCUCCUGACCCUCUGGGCCUGCCUUUCCAUGCAGUACCCUUGUUCUCUGAGAGUGAGGAGGUCUGUGUUUUGAGCCUUCCUACAUGGCCAUGGUCCAUGCCUCCUUUACUACAUCAGAUCCACCUAGUCCCUGGACUAAUCAGAAACACAAGAAAUAAGAAGACCAUUUUGAGAAGAACAGAGAGUAGCCUUAAGAAAAUCCCUGUCGCAAGCACUCUGGGAUUUGGACUCAAAUGCUAAUUAUACAGAACCACUUGGGUGCCCAGCUGCUGUCCAUUCUCUACACUUAUCCCACCUGAUGGAAGGCUGUUAAGAAAAACAUCACUGCAAUGCCUAAUAAACAGACAUGGGUCCCAGACCCAAUAAGAGUGAAACCAUCCCCCUAUUUAAAUGAAAUUAUGGCUGAUGAGAAAGACAAAUUAAUUUCUCUGUCCCUAGUAUUACACAAAACUUUGGAUGCUGCCAUUGUUACAAUUUUAUUUUCCCCAGGAGCUCAGAGUCCCACCUUCAUUCUUUUUGUUUAAUGCUUAAGCUUGCCUGUCCACCUAUGGAAGACUAGAAUGAGCAAAGACCAUGUAUUCAAUGAUCUGUAAAUCUAACAGGAAACAAUAUAAUAAAUAUAUUGUGUUUGCUAACCAAA
RNAcentral lists this long non-coding RNA (1006 nucleotides) under Homo sapiens (human). Its description in RNAcentral is "novel transcript". The record is from RNAcentral. Lineage: Eukaryota; Metazoa; Chordata; Mammalia; Primates; Hominidae.